RNAcentral lists this ribosomal RNA (303 nucleotides) under uncultured bacterium. RNAcentral describes it as "partial 16S ribosomal RNA". It matches the Rfam family "Bacterial small subunit ribosomal RNA", at positions 507 to 809 of the family's 1533-position model. The record is from RNAcentral.
AGCAGUCGCCGCGGGAAUACGUAGGUGGCAAGCGUUGUCCGGAAUUAUUGGGCGUAAAGGGCUCGCAGGCGGUUUCUUAAGUCUGAUGUGAAAGCCCCCGGCUCAACCGGGGAGGGUCAUUGGAAACUGGGAAACUUGAGUGCAGAAGAGGAGAGUGGAAUUCCACGUGUAGCGGUGAAAUGCGUAGAGAUGUGGAGGAACACCAGUGGCGAAGGCGACUCUCUGGUCUGUAACUGACGCUGAGGAGCGAAAGCGUGGGGAGCGAACAGGAUUAGAUACCCCAGUAGUCCCUGUCUCUUAUCA